Molecule: ribosomal RNA, 478 nt
Filed under: uncultured bacterium
Lineage: Bacteria
Description: bacterial SSU rRNA
Rfam family: Bacterial small subunit ribosomal RNA
Source: RNAcentral
GACGAACGCUGGCGGCGUGCCUAACACAUGCAAGUCGAGCGGAGUCGAUCGACGGAAGCCUUCGGGCGGAAGAUGGUUGACUUAGCGGCGGAUGGGUGAGUAACGCGUGGGCAACCUGCCUCGAAGACCGGGAUAACAGCCCGAAAGGGCUGCUAAUACCGGAUGUGGUCAAGGAUCCGCAUGGAUUUUUGAUUAAAGGGGAAACCCGUUUCGAGAUGGGCCCGCGUCCUAUCAGCUAGUUGGUGAAGUAAAAGCUCACCAAGGCGACGACGGGUAGCCGGCCUGAGAGGGUGACCGGCCACACUGGAACUGAGACACGGUCCAGACUCCUACGGGGGCAGCAGUGGGGAAUCUUCCACAAUGGGCGAAAGCCUGAUGGAGCGACGCCGCGUGAGCGAAGAAGGCCUUCGGUUGUAACCUCUGUCAUGGGGAAGAAGUAAGUGACGGUACCCAAGAGGAAGCCCCUGCUAACUACGUG